CUCAUUAAUUUUGCAAUUUAAAAAACUCCCUUGCAAAUCCCUUGAGGAAAUUUGCAAUGUUGCUAAAAGCCAAUUAAAUUUUCCUCAGUUCCUGUUAGAAGUUCUUAACUUCCUGUUACAAGUUCCUAACUUCCUGUUCUGUUCUGGGCGUUGCAAUUGGCUAACAAAAAUAAUCAACCAAUAACAACGCUCAGAACAGAACAGGAAGUUAGGAAAUUAAAACAGGAAGUUAGGAAAAUUUAAAAUGAAGUUUGUUGCAUUGGAAUAUUGCAACAGCCGAUAGGAAUAUUGCAAAUUCCCUCAAGGGAUUUGCAAAGAGUUUUUCAAAUUUGCAAAGCUAAUGAGG
Non-coding RNA from Paramuricea clavata, 346 nucleotides. NCBI's taxonomy places the organism in Eukaryota, Metazoa, Cnidaria, Anthozoa, Malacalcyonacea, Plexauridae. The record is from the annotation of a GenBank genome assembly.